GCGCACAUUUCACUGUCUUUUUUUUAUAUUAAGAGAAAAGAUAUUUCUGAUGAGCUAAAUAAACCUCUGGAGAUGAAUGAGCAGCAUAACUAAUUUACCCAUUACUGUCUGUCAUCUUCAGACAACA
Bison bison bison is the source of this 127-nucleotide small nucleolar RNA. The record is from Ensembl. NCBI's taxonomy places the organism in Eukaryota, Metazoa, Chordata, Mammalia, Artiodactyla, Bovidae.